UGGCGGCGGCUUACACAUGCAAGUCGAGCGGAAACGAUGAUAGCUUGCUAUCAGGCGUCGAGCGGCGGACGGGUGAGUAAUACUUAGGAAUCUACCUAGUAGUGGGGGAUAGCACGGGGAAACUCGUAUUAAUACCGCAUACGACCUACGGGAGAAAGGGGGCAGUUUACUGCUCUCGCUAUUAGAUGAGCCUAAGUCGGAUUAGCUAGAUGGUGGGGUAAAGGCCUACCAUGGCGACGAUCUGUAGCUGGUCUGAGAGGAUGAUCAGCCACACCGGGACUGAGACACGGCCCGGACUCCUACGGGAGGCAGCAGUGGGGAAUAUUGGACAAUGGGGGAAACCCUGAUCCAGCCAUGCCGCGUGUGUGAAGAAGGCCUUUUGGUUGUAAAGCACUUUAAGCAGUGAAGAAGACUCCAUGGUUAAUACCCAUGGACGAUGACAUUAGCUGCAGAAUAAGCACCGGCAAACUCUGUGCCAGCAGCCGCGGUAAU
This 492-nucleotide ribosomal RNA is filed under the name uncultured bacterium. Its description in RNAcentral is "bacterial SSU rRNA". It matches the Rfam family "Bacterial small subunit ribosomal RNA", at positions 37 to 524 of the family's 1533-position model. The record is from RNAcentral.